UCACUAACCGAAGAACCUUACCAGGGUUUGACAUCCUCUGACAUCCCAUGAAAGUGGGCUUUCCUCGCAAGAGGACAGAGAGACAGGUGUUGCAUGGUUGUCGUCAGCUCGUGUCGUGAGAUGUUGGGUUAAGUCCCGCAACGAGCGCAACCCUCAUCCAAUGUUGCCAGCGUUAAGUCGGGAACUCUUUGGAAACUGCCCAUGUAAGUGGGAGGAAGGUGGGGAUGACGUCAAAUCGGCAUGGCCCUUACAUCCUGGGCUUGACACAUGCUACAAUGGCCGUUAACAAAGCGAAGCAAGACCGCGAGGUGGAGCCAAUCGCAAAAAUACGGUCUCAGUUCGGAUUGCAGGCUGCAACUCGCCUGCAUGAAGUCGGAAUCGCUAGUAACCGCAGGUCAGCUAAACUGCGGUGAAUACGUUCCCGGGCCUUGUACACACUGCCCGUCAAGUCACCUGAGUUGUCUGCACCCGAAGUUGGUGGCUUAACCCGCAAGGGAGAGAGCCAACUAAGGUGUGGGGAGCGAGGGGGACUAAGUCGUAACAAGGUAAC
This 550-nucleotide ribosomal RNA is filed under the name uncultured bacterium. RNAcentral's name for it is "bacterial SSU rRNA". It matches the Rfam family "Bacterial small subunit ribosomal RNA", at positions 954 to 1500 of the family's 1533-position model. The record is from RNAcentral.